UGGGGAAUUUUGGACAAUGGGCGAAAGCCUGAUCCAGCAAUGCCGCGUGUGUGAAGAAGGCCUUCGGGUUGUAAAGCACUUUUGUCCGGAAAGAAAUGGCUCUGGUUAAUACCUGGGGUCGAUGACGGUACCGGAAGAAUAAGGACCUGCUAACUACGUGCCAGCAGCCGCGGUAAUACGUAGGGUCCAAGCGUUAAUCGGAAUUACUGGGCGUAAAGCGUGCGCAGGCGGUUGUGCAAGACCGAUGUGAAAUCCCCGAGCUUAACUUGGGAAUUGCAUUGGUGACUGCACGGCUAGGGUGUGUCAGAGGGGGGUAGAAUUCCACGUGUAGCGGUGGAAUGCGUCGAGAUGUGGAGGAAUACCGAUGGCGAAGGCAGCACCAUGGGAUAACACUGACGAUCAUGCACGAAAGCGUGGGGAGCAAACAGG
RNAcentral lists this ribosomal RNA (429 nucleotides) under Bacillota bacterium. Its description in RNAcentral is "Firmicutes bacterium partial 16S ribosomal RNA". It matches the Rfam family "Bacterial small subunit ribosomal RNA", at positions 355 to 776 of the family's 1533-position model. Lineage: Bacteria; Bacillati; Bacillota. The record is from RNAcentral.